This 298-nucleotide unclassified non-coding RNA is filed under the name Hevea brasiliensis (rubber tree). Lineage: Eukaryota; Viridiplantae; Streptophyta; Magnoliopsida; Malpighiales; Euphorbiaceae. The record is from RNAcentral.
CUCAAUUAACUCAUUUAUGACAUCACGGAUUCCAAAUUCAUAGAAAUGAUCGUAAAAUAUUACAGGCGUUCCAGGGUGGGUUAAAAUAUAUGCAUAUCCUUGAGUAAGCUUGUCCCGAGGAAAUGGCCAGUGGCCCUGUGUGGAUCCAGUAUCAUGAUUCUCCAAAAAUGUGACAGCACGUGAGGGCCACCAUCCCAUCACUCCGGUUGGCUUGCCUUGAGGAUCAAUUAACCUCCAAUAUUGGUUAUGCAAAGCAGAAUGCAGUAUACCCUUUGUUGUGACAUCGAAUGCUGAAGAG